UAGCUUAGCGGCAUAAGCGCCUGCCUUGCAAGCAGGCAGUCGUGAGUUCGAUCCCCGC
RNAcentral lists this transfer RNA (58 nucleotides) under Cavia porcellus (domestic guinea pig). It matches the Rfam family "tRNA", at positions 8 to 63 of the family's 71-position model. Rfam says of the family: Transfer RNA (tRNA) molecules are approximately 80 nucleotides in length. Their secondary structure includes four short double-helical elements and three loops (D, anti-codon, and T loops). Lineage: Eukaryota; Metazoa; Chordata; Mammalia; Rodentia; Caviidae. The record is from Rfam by way of RNAcentral.